Molecule: long non-coding RNA, 723 nt
Filed under: Gallus gallus (chicken)
Lineage: Eukaryota; Metazoa; Chordata; Aves; Galliformes; Phasianidae
Description: lncRNA (ENSGALG00010025217.1)
Source: RNAcentral
UGUUCCAGCUGUUAGACUUAGAGAUGAAAUAUGACUCAGAGUAUUAAUCUCAGUAAGAACCAUUGAAAUGGAAAAUAAAUAACAUGGAAACUUAUGUGUAAUUAAAAGUUUAGUGAUAACGUUUCUUUUUUCAGCAAAACAUUGUACUGCUCAGAGCCAAGCAGUCAUUUAGGUACCUGCUAAAAAUUCACAAAACAUUUUUUGUGGCACUGGGUAGUAGAUUAUUGUUUUUCUCUUAGGUGGUGACAGUUGUUCCUAAUGCCAAGAAUCAUUUGCAACUACUACUCUUGUUGCUUAAGGCAGGACAAAGGUUGGACCAGCAUCAGAGAUAAAAUAAAGAGAGGCAAAAAGAGUUACUUGAAUUUGGCAUUCUGCAGUAAGCGAUACACAAGAAGGUGACUUCAGAAGUCUGCAUCUCCCUACCGUGCCAGUUGUCCUACAUCUGAAAUUUCACAGUAUUUAGAUUUUCAAGUCCAAACGCAAUGAAUUGCAUCUAAAUACUUGAGCUUGUUGUUCAAGAUCACGCACAAAUUAUGUAGUCAAGAUGGGGGAAGAGCCAAAUAUUUUGUCUCACUGUCCUGUACACUAACCUUUCACUGUACUUAGUACUUCUAUUAAUAAUUAUCAAAUGUUCAUCUGUAUUAAAGCAGGUAUUUCCUCACAUUGAAUUCUACCUGGUGAUCUUUUAGGGAGAUAAUAUUUUGUACUGUUAGUACAACUCAC